GUUCAAAGAUGGGAGAGGCCGGGCGCGGUGGCUCAUGCCUGUCAUCCCAGCACUUUGCGAGGCCGAGGCAGGCGGAUCACUUGAACCCAGGACUCGAAACCAGCCUGGGCAACGUAGUGGGACCCCCAUCUCUACACAAAAAUUUUUAAAAAUUAGCCAGUGAAGAAAUGGAAGAGGAAAACCGAAUAUCCCAACCCCCACCCAUCGCCCACCCGAGGACGUCCCCCCAGCCGGAGUCGGGCAUCAAGCGACUGUUUAGCUUCUUCUCCCGAGAUAAGAAGCGCCUGGCCAACACGCAGAGAAACGUGCACAUCCAGGAGUCCUUUGGACAGUGGGCAAACACCCACCGCGAUGACGGUUACACAGAGCAAGGACAGGAAGCCCUGCAGCAUCUGUGACCUUGGCCCAUCUCCACCCUCCAACCCGGACUGCCCACCACCAGCGCCUGCGACCGAACUGCAGCCCAGGGGUCAUUGCUGCCUCAAGCCGCUCGGUGCAGACGCACCCUGAAAACUGACCCCUCAAACAGACUGUCUGAUUUGAGGAUGGACAUUGAAAAACCGACGCCAAACUCUAAAGAAAUGUUUAUUUAUACCCAGGGCUAUCACUGUUUCUAAUAGAUGACUCUGAUCCCGUAGGAUAUAUAUUUAAUAAUCCCACAAACGGAGGCCAGACUUCUGCGUUAACUUCAGUAACACAAGCUUCUUUAAGCCAAAUACAUCACUUGCCACUAUCAUUGCUGUUUGACUUGCUUUGUAUAAAAUGCUGU
RNAcentral lists this small RNA (769 nucleotides) under Pan troglodytes (chimpanzee). RNAcentral describes it as "processed transcript". The record is from RNAcentral. Lineage: Eukaryota; Metazoa; Chordata; Mammalia; Primates; Hominidae.